Molecule: long non-coding RNA, 222 nt
Filed under: Elaeis guineensis (African oil palm)
Lineage: Eukaryota; Viridiplantae; Streptophyta; Magnoliopsida; Arecales; Arecaceae
Description: long non-coding RNA (EGUI_LNC010623)
Source: RNAcentral
UCCCUAAUUCUAUAAUACUAAUUUCAUGGUGGACCAUGAAAUCGAUAAUUCUAGAUCAUGUUAUUUCCGGCCCCUCCAGAGGUAUUCAGUGUCAUUAAACAAAAUGGUAAAGACGAGGGGUGAAACCCAAUCUACCCCCUUUUUUUACCUCUUUGUCUUCAUGCCACGGCCCCUGCUCACACCCUUGGUGGCUUGAAAUCCUCCGCAGACCUCCUCCCCUCC